AGAGUUUGAUCAUGGCUCAGAGCGAACGCUGGCGGCAGGCCUAACACAUGCAAGUCGAGCGCCCCGCAAGGGGAGCGGCAGACGGGAGAGUAACGCGUGGGAACGUACCUUUUGGUUCGGAACAACACAGGGAAACUUGUGCUAAUACCGGAUAAGCCCUUACGGGGAAAGAUUUAUCGCCGAAAGAUCGGCCCGCGUCUGAUUAGCUAGUUGGUAGGGUAACGGCCUACCAAGGCGACGAUCAGUAGCUGGUCUGAGAGGAUGAUCAGCCACAUUGGGACUGAGACACGGCCCAAACUCCUACGGGAGGCAGCAGUGGGGAAUAUUGGACAAUGGGCGCAAGCCUGAUCCAGCCAUGCCGCGUGAGUGAUGAAGGCCCUAGGGUUGUAAAGCUCUUUUGUGCGGGAAGAUAAUGACGGUACCGCAAGAAUAAGCCCCGGCUAACUUCGUGCCAGCAGCCGCGGUAAUACGAAGGGGGCUAGCGUUGCUCGGAAUCACUGGGCGUAAAGGGUGCGUAGGCGGGUCUUUAAGUCAGGGGUGAAAUCCUGGAGCUCAACUCCAGAACUGCCUUUGAUACUGAGGAUCUUGAGUUCGGGAGAGGUGAGUGGAACUGCGAGUGUAGAGGUGAAAUUCGUAGAUAUUCGCAAGAACACCAGUGGCGAAGGCGGCUCACUGGCCCGAUACUGACGCUGAGGCACGAAAGCGUGGGGAGCAAACAGGAUUAGAUACCCUAGUAGUCC
RNAcentral lists this ribosomal RNA (740 nucleotides) under uncultured bacterium. RNAcentral describes it as "bacterial SSU rRNA". It matches the Rfam family "Bacterial small subunit ribosomal RNA", at positions 8 to 796 of the family's 1533-position model. The record is from RNAcentral.